Molecule: long non-coding RNA, 542 nt
Filed under: Neogale vison (American mink)
Lineage: Eukaryota; Metazoa; Chordata; Mammalia; Carnivora; Mustelidae
Description: Neovison vison (American mink) lncRNA (ENSNVIG00000021559.1)
Source: RNAcentral
CGCGCGCUGUCCCCCGGAGGCGUCUGGGUGUGCGGAGCGCGCGCGCGCGGCUCGGAGGCGCACCUGUGAGGUGUCCCUUGAGGAGAGGGAGGGUGGGUGCGCGGAGCCCGCGGCCUGGGGCGCUUCAACCCCUCACUUGGAAGCGCCCCGCGUCCCAGCAGAGUCCGCCGAGCAUCCUACUCAGGUGAUGAGGAACCCUUCGCGCCCCGAGCGCAGAACGCCGCUGCCGCUGGACGCCUCCAUUGUUUGACCACAACAAGGGCCGGAUUCUCACCCAGCUCUGCUUGUACUCAGAGCCGAAGUUGUUUCUGGGCUCAGCUGUAAACGACUGCUCCCUUGAGGAAGCCAGAUCCAACAGAAACAGCCAGAGGGAGAGGGGCAGGAAGAGGCAGAUGAAUCAGACCUGCAAAUCCAAGAGAUACAUCUCUCUGGAAGAUAAGAGAGCUUCUUCCCCAAGAUCAAAAAAGGAGACUGGAGUGAGACUCAUGUAGGGAAUCCCCAGAAGGAAGGAUUGGCACACCUGGAACCCGAGGAGCUUGCUU